This 253-nucleotide ribosomal RNA is filed under the name uncultured bacterium. RNAcentral's name for it is "partial 16S ribosomal RNA". It matches the Rfam family "Bacterial small subunit ribosomal RNA", at positions 524 to 776 of the family's 1533-position model. The record is from RNAcentral.
UACGGAGGGGGCUAGCGUUGUUCGGAAUUACUGGGCGUAAAGCGCACGUAGGCGGCUUUGUAAGUUAGAGGUGAAAGCCUGGGGCUCAACUCCAGAAUUGCCUUUAAGACUGCAUCGCUUGAACGUCGGAGAGGUGAGUGGAAUUCCGAGUGUAGAGGUGAAAUUCGUAGAUAUUCUGAAGAACACCAGUGGCGAAGGCGGCUCACUGGACGACUGUUGACACUGAGGCACGAGAGCAUGGGUAGCGAACAGG